This is an RNA transcript of Enhydra lutris kenyoni (northern sea otter), 665 nucleotides long. It is a transcript of the gene named peptidyl-prolyl cis-trans isomerase H pseudogene, with no coding region annotated. The transcript has a single exon. NCBI's taxonomy places the organism in Eukaryota, Metazoa, Chordata, Mammalia, Carnivora, Mustelidae. The record is from RefSeq and is a predicted model, not a curated record.
UGGACGUUGUGCCCAAGAUGGCUGAGAAUUUUAGGCAGUUCUGCACUGGAGAAUUCAGAAAAGAUGGGGUUCCGAUAGGCUACAAAGGGAGCACCUUCCACAGGGUCAUAAAGGAUUUCAUGAUUCAGGGUGGGGAUUUUGUUAAUGGAGAUGGUACUGGAGUUGCCAGUAUUUACCGGGAGCCAUUUGCAGAUGAAAAUUUUAAACUUAGACACUCAGCUCCAGGACUGCUUUCCAUGGCAAACAGUGGUCCCAGUACAAAUGACUGCCAGUUCUUCAUCACCUGCUCUAAAUGUGAUUGGCUGGAUGGGAAACAUGUAGUGUUUGGAAAAAUCAUUGAUGGACUUCUAGUGAUGCGAAAGAUCGAGAAAGUUCCCACAGGCCCCAACAAUAAGCCCAAGCUGCCUGUGGUUAUCUCACAGUGUGGGGAGAUGUAGUCCAGAGCAAGACUGAUCAGACCUUCACCUCUCUGCCAUUGUGGGCCUUCCUUGCUCUGGGUGAUGCUCUUGAGUAAGAUAAUCCGGAUUGGCCCCUGUGUUUGCUUCCCUGCCUGCUGCGGCCCUUUUUGAUCAAGACCUUGGAAGUGUCACAGAUUCAGAACCCAAGUUUUCUGUUUAAGUUUUCAAUUGUAAAUUAAGUUUUGUUUUGUUUUGGUAAAAAAAAAA